RNAcentral lists this long non-coding RNA (394 nucleotides) under Vigna radiata. RNAcentral's name for it is "long non-coding RNA (VRAD_LNC016636)". The record is from RNAcentral. Lineage: Eukaryota; Viridiplantae; Streptophyta; Magnoliopsida; Fabales; Fabaceae.
GAGGAACCGUUCUGUUCUCAACAUAGAAAUCAACAAAGUAUAUAUGAGAACCAUACUCAGAGUCAGAUGUAGAAGGAGAAUCAUAAUCAUAGACACAUGCAGAAGAAGUAGUGUUCACAUAGCCAAAAUAGGUAGACAUGGGAAAAAAGGGGGAAAAGAAGAAUGCAAUGAAAAUAUGCAACUAAAGCUACCUAAAUGCAAACACACAAUGACGAACACACAAAACAGAACAUCACACUCACAACACAAGACAAGACAACGCACACUAACACAACAAAAGACCUAAAACCGAACCGUUGGUCCCCGGCAACGGCGCCAAAAUUUUGAUGGGUGUCACACCCCAUGCAAAAUUUAAUUAGCAUAAAAGAAUGCAGUAUAGACUAGGAAGUGACUC